CCUACGGGUGGCAGCAGUGAGGAAUAUUGGUCAAUGGGCGCGAGCCUGAACCAGCCAAGUAGCGUGAAGGAUGACUGCCCUACGGGUUGUAAACUUCUUUUAUAAAGGAAUAAAGUGAGGCAUGGGUGCCUUUUUGUAUGUACUUUAUGAAUAAGGCUCGGCUAACUCCGUGCGAGCAGCCGCGGUAAUACGGAGGAUCCGAGCGUUAUCCGGAUUUAUUGGGUUUAAAGGGAGCGUAGAUGGGUUGUUGAGUCAGUUGUGAAAGUUUGCGGCUCAACCGGAAAAUUGCAAUUGAUACUGGCAGCCUUGAGUGCGGUUGAGGUGAGCGGAAUUCGUGGUGUAGCGGUGAAAUGCUUAGAUAUCACGAAGAACUCCGAUGGCGAAGGCAGCUUACUAAGCUGCCACUGACAUUGAUGCUCGAAAGUGUGGGUAUCAAACAGGAUUAGAUACCCUAGUAGUC
This 460-nucleotide ribosomal RNA is filed under the name uncultured bacterium. RNAcentral's name for it is "partial 16S ribosomal RNA". It matches the Rfam family "Bacterial small subunit ribosomal RNA", at positions 338 to 795 of the family's 1533-position model. The record is from RNAcentral.